Arachis stenosperma is the source of this 550-nucleotide long non-coding RNA. RefSeq lists it as uncharacterized. The record is from RefSeq and is a predicted model, not a curated record. Lineage: Eukaryota; Viridiplantae; Streptophyta; Magnoliopsida; Fabales; Fabaceae. The transcript is spliced from 6 exons.
GUGGGUUCGAUGAAUUUUGGCUCUUUCCAACUAAAGCUGGCACAGAUUCUUCUUGCAUUAUUGACAGCUUCUGUUACAUAUGAUCACAAAGCAAUUGUUGUUAAUGGGCAGAGAAAGAUUCUGUUUUCUGGUUCUAUACACUACCCCAGAAGCACACCUCAGAUAUGGCCAGAGCUUAUUCAAAAAGUUAAAGAGGGAGGGUUGGAUGUUAUUCAAACCUAUGUGUUUUGGAAUGGCCAUGAACCUUCUCCAGGAAAAUAUUAUUUCGAGGAUAGGUACAAACUUAGUUAAGUUCAUCAAGGAAGUGCAGCAAGCUGGACUUUAUGUUAAUCUCUGAAUUGGUCCCUACAUAUGUUCUGAAUGGAACUUUGGGGUAACUUUGCAGCCAUCUUGAAGGCAAUGCAUUCUUUUAGUGCUGAAUCAGAAAAGGAGUUGAGCUUUUCAAAGGAAUUGUUGGGAUCAGAAGGGAUUGUGAAUAAGGAGGACUCUAAAUUUUGAAGGGUGUGGAGUUGGUGCGGUUGAGAGAAGGGCGUUUGGACCAUUUGGCAUU